Long non-coding RNA from Nothoprocta perdicaria, 85 nucleotides. RefSeq lists it as uncharacterized. NCBI's taxonomy places the organism in Eukaryota, Metazoa, Chordata, Aves, Tinamiformes, Tinamidae. The record is from RefSeq and is a predicted model, not a curated record. The transcript is spliced from 2 exons.
GUGCCUUCAGCUGCUGCAGUCAUGCUCUUUAUCAUCAGCAGCCAUCCAUGCAGAUGAAAGGAUUUCAGACUAAUGUGAAUUUGAC